UAAUCUGCCCUUGGCCCUUACAGAGGCUGGACCCCCAGCUCCGAAAACACCUCAAGAUCAACAAGACUCCCAAGGUCAAAGACUAAGCCCAGCUGCCAGCAAGUUGACAACAAAGGUUGCUUAAGGAUCAGAUGAAAUUACCAGCCUGUAUUGCCCUCCAGGGGAGGGGUGUCGUGGAUGGAGCUGGUGACGCCAGGAAGGAAGGAUAAUGCACAGCAAAUAGCACAACGUUACACUUUGCUGGUGUCUCUCAUCCCAACACCGCCUGAGGCAAAGUGUUGUGUUCCCUCCAUGCUGAGGCCUGCUGUCUGUGAUUCCUGAAGCAAGAGUCUUGGUUAUGGAAACACCCUGUAGGACUCAAUAAGGUCCGUGGACAGAAAACGCUAAGUAUCUUAAAGUGCCAACCAGCCGCUGGACAACUGGGGGUUUGCCAGCCUGGUAUCCCACAGGAAAACCAGCUUCCCAACCCCCAAUGACCAGGGAGCCAGAUACAUAAGAUGAAACAAUGAGCACCCAGCCUUUGCAUCCUGCAGCGCAUUCUUUCAGGAGGAAGAGCUUAAACCCCAGCAUCACCUUCCUGUGCACAUGGAGACCCCAGCAUCGCUUUAGUUCAAAACAACUUAGAACCAGAAGCACCCCGGGUCAGGAAUAAAUAUAUUUUUAAAGUCAAGAGUUCACUAUGUCUACCUACAAGCUAAAUUCAAACUUGUGAAGGUUGGGACAGUCUCACAGAGCAAAAUCUUCCCGAGUCCUUCCCAGAUUUGAAUCCUCUCUUUGAUGAUCUAAUAAACUUUGUUGAUCAGUGAGAAUUUUAGUCCAGUUAACAGCCUUGUC
Talpa occidentalis (Iberian mole) is the source of this 834-nucleotide long non-coding RNA. RefSeq lists it as uncharacterized. NCBI's taxonomy places the organism in Eukaryota, Metazoa, Chordata, Mammalia, Eulipotyphla, Talpidae. The record is from RefSeq and is a predicted model, not a curated record. The transcript has 3 exons.